GAUGAACGCUGGCGGCGUGCCUAAUACAUGCAAGUCGAGCGAACAGACGAGGAGCUUGCUCCUCUGACGUUAGCGGCGGACGGGUGAGUAACACGUGGAUAACCUCCCUAUAAGACUGGGAUAACUUCGGGAAACCGGAGCUAAUACCGGAUAAUAUCUUGAACCGCAUGGUUCAAUAGUGAAAGACGGUUUUGCUGUCACUUAUAGAUGGAUCCGCGCCGCAUGAGCUAGUUGGUAAGGUCACGGCUUACCAAGGCAACGAUGCGUAGCCGACCUGAGAGGGUGAACGGCCACACGGGAACUGAGACACGGUCCAGACUCCUAGGGGAGGCAGCAGUAGGGAAUCUUACGCAAUGGGCGAAAGCCUGACGGAGCAACGCCGCGUGAGUGAUGAAGGUCUUCGGAUCGGAAAGCGCUGUUAUUAGGGAAGAACAAAUGUGUAAGUAACUAGGCACGUCUUGACGGUACCUAAUCAGAAAGCCACGGCUAACUACGUG
RNAcentral lists this ribosomal RNA (497 nucleotides) under uncultured bacterium. RNAcentral's name for it is "partial 16S ribosomal RNA". It matches the Rfam family "Bacterial small subunit ribosomal RNA", at positions 28 to 507 of the family's 1533-position model. The record is from RNAcentral.